UACGUAGGGUGCAAGCGUUGUCCGGAAUUAUUGGGCGUAAAGAGCGUGUAGGCGGCCCGAUUAGUCCGCUGUGAAAGUCCAGGGCUCAACCCUGGAAUGCCGGUGGAUACUGUCGGGCUAGAGUCCGGAAGGGGCGAGUGGAAUUCCUGGUGUAGCGGUGAAAUGCGCAGAUAUCAGGAGGAACACCAGUGGCGAAGGCGGCCGACUGGUCCGGUUCUGACGCUGAGGCGCGAAAGCGUGGGGAGCAAACAGG
This 253-nucleotide ribosomal RNA is filed under the name uncultured bacterium. Its description in RNAcentral is "partial 16S ribosomal RNA". It matches the Rfam family "Bacterial small subunit ribosomal RNA", at positions 524 to 776 of the family's 1533-position model. The record is from RNAcentral.